Physcomitrium patens is the source of this 3879-nucleotide non-coding RNA. NCBI's taxonomy places the organism in Eukaryota, Viridiplantae, Streptophyta, Bryopsida, Funariales, Funariaceae. The record is from RefSeq and is a predicted model, not a curated record.
AACUGGCAUACAUCGCGUGGAUUUGCUACUUUGGGCUGCUGGUGUGUUGCAAUGGUCUCCAUCCAACUCCUGCCACAGCCAUCUCAUCGCCACCCCGCCCAUCUGUACUUGUUUCCUGCCUGCUGCUGCACUCUCCUGGGAACACCACAUAAUUCAAAACUGGAUUCAAGUACAUCGGUUGGUUGCCGAAGUUGUACUGCCCAUGUGGUAAUUCUUCAGGAAUACUUCGUUUGAAUUGCUGGAGGCAGAGAUUUCUGGUACUUUCGCAGUCUUUUAGUGUCUUUCGGGAAUGCGCUUCCGUCAGAAUUAGGUGGGUGAUACUUUCUUUUUUGUGGGUCCGUGGUUGCGGUUGAUCGGCUCUGGCGCUGCAAAGGUGCACUUGCACAGGAGGAUUAGACCCACUGAGCAAUUUUCGGAGUGUUGUUUGAAUUUCGAGGGAAUUAUGAUCUGAAAACGGUUUAAUCAAUUCUUCGAAGUCUCCAGCAACUCUCUCCGCCUGGGGAUUUUUCACAGUCUUCUAUGCGAUCGAUGGUAUUUAGCUCUUGUUCUGAUUCAAAUGCAAUGCUUCGGAGACUGUAGUGUGUACGACAUGUAGUAUUUCCGGCAUUGGUCAUACAUGGUAAAACUAACUUUCAAAUUGUUAAGGAGGAAAAACAUACUGCAAAAUUGUGAUGCUUUGUAGCCUUGGGGUGGAAUGAAGGUGGCAAUGGUCACAGCGCAUAGUUGCGGGGUGUUGAUUAGUUGUUGGUGGUCCAUGGCAUCAGGGGUGACUCCUGGAGCUUGCUGAGGAAGCCCAACACAACUUUCAUCAAAUAUCGACCGAUUGUAGUUUGAAUUUGUGGACACACCUCCAACAACAUGCGUCCUUUUGAAUAGCAGCUACGGAUGUCCAAUUUGUUGUUCGAGGAUUUCUGUUAGUGGCUUGUGUAUGGAUGUCCGAGAAAACGAAGGAGAGGGUGAGAGUGAUGUGGGGUCUCUAGCAAAUUUCAAUGCCUCCAGUCUCCAGUCUGGUUGGGUCUGGCGGUGGUCGUAUGAGUCUAGCUCCCCAAUUAGGAUCUCGUGUGAACAAUGUAAGAUGCGUACACCCGCAACGCCAGUGCGCUGUAUGUGCUCUUGAACGGAGGUUUAGCUGGAAAAUUUGUCACCAGCUUAGUAGAGUUGGAGAUCGAGGGCCUUCUCAUGCCAUUGUUGUGAAACCAAAACCACAAUUGAAGCUGGUUUAUGGAGGACACACUAGGUAUUCUCAUUUGGUCUCGCCGUUUGGAACGUAUUCCUCCUCUAGUGGGCGAAGAGCACAGAGGGGCAACUCAGAUGGUUUACCCGGGUAUGAGGAUGAAGAGAAAGGCGGAGAGACGGAGGAGGAGGAUUCUAGCCCUGGUUUGACAGCUCGCAACCUGGUGGGAACAUAUGCCGCUAGCACAGCAUUGGCUGUGCAGGAGUCUCUUCCACCGGAGGGAGUGAUCGUGUUAUUGGCGUGCCUUGUGGGCGUGCUUACUGGUGGAAGUGUCGUGCUCUUCAAUCUUGCGGUACACGGUAUCCACGAUGAAGUCUGGGAAGGCAUUCCCGUUAGCGGAGCCGCUUGGUUACGAACACGUCCACUAAAAGAAACCUGGCUUCGACUUCUCGCGGUCCCUUUUGGAGGGGGUGUUUUGGUUGGAAUUCUCAACACAAUGCGCCAAACCUUGGAUGACGACGAAAAUGAAAAGUCCAAGUCCAGAUCCAAGUCGUCCCGGUUGGCUGAUUUUCGCGGUGUUUUCAGAGCUUUUCUGAAAGCAGUUAGUGCUGCAGUUACUUUAGGUACUGGGUGCUCCCUUGGUCCGGAAGGUCCCAGUGUUGAAAUUGGGGCGUCCAUAGCCAAUGGUGUGAGUGCAGUGCUGAGUAAUAGUCGGGAACGCAAGACCGCUCUGGUUGCUGCCGGCUCUGCAGCUGGAAUCUCUUCAGGAUUCAAUGCGGCUGUAGCUGGCUGCUUUUUCGCGGUUGAAUCAGUGUUGCGGCCUUUAUCUUCAGACUCCGCACCGUCGCUCACCACAGCAAUGCUGUUGCUUAGCUCAGUAGUGGCAAGUGUGAUUUCGCAGGCUGGAUUAGGGUCUGAUCCUGCAUUCAAGAUCCCUGCAUAUGAUUUUCGAUCCCCUGCUGAGCUUCCGUUGUAUUUGCUUCUUGGAAUUCUCAGUGGCGGUGUGUCAGUGACCCUUGUCAAGGGCAGUGCUUAUGCAACAACCUUCUUUGAAAAUGUGAAAAAGACGACUGGAAUUCCUGCAGGCUUCCUUCCACCAGUAGGAGGCCUUGCAGUGGGUGUUAUUGCUCUUGCAUAUCCGGAAAUACUGUAUUGGGGCUUUGAGAAUGUGGACGUCCUGCUAGAGUCACGUCCGUGGGCUCGAGGCCCGUCGGUAGAGUUGCUGCUGCAAUUAGUUGGUGUUAAAGUAAUUGCAACUUCUCUGUGUCGUGGCUCUGGAUUAGUGGGCGGUAUGUAUGCACCCUCGCUGUUUAUUGGAGCUGCACUUGGGUCAGCGUAUGGAAACAUUGCUAGAACUCUUUUCUCACACGUCGAUCCUGCCCUCCAUUUGGAAUGGAUUAAGGUUGCUGCUCCCCAAGCCUAUGCAUUGGUAGGCAUGGCAGCCAUGUUAGCUGGAGUAUGCCAAGUCCCACUCACCUCCGUCUUGCUUCUAUUCGAGCUUACGCGAGAUUACCGUAUUAUUUUGCCUCUCAUGGGCGCAGUAGGUCUAUCAUCCUGGAUUGCAUCCUCAUCCACUAAGAAGAGUAAACGCUCGAAGUCCGAAUCAACUCUUCUAUCAUCAUCGUCUGCUCCUAUCACACAAUCCAAGCUGGGAUCUUCUCCGCUGGAUCUAAGUGUUGCCAGCCAACAGGGUCGGUUAAGCAAUGGCGCUGGAAAUGGGGGCCUUCAAACCACUACGGAGAAAGUUCAGGACCCGUUGGCUCUGGCUACUGAGAGGAGGACAGUCAUUUACACUAAUGAUGGGAGUUUUGAGGAGUUUGUUGAAGAUAAAGAAGUGUGCAAUAUUGACGAGUCCCUUUGUUUAACAAAUUUUGAGAUCAGUGAGGAACAAUUAGCAGAUGAAUUACCCGUAUCCAUGGCAAUGAGGACCAGUUUCGCAAGUCUGUCCUUGGGCUCAACAGUGCGAGAAGCGAUGUCGGUUAUGGUGUUGGAGAAAGAGUGGUGUGUGCUUCUGCUGGACUCUAAUCAGCGCCUUGCAGGCCUGCUUACUUUAGCUGACAUUCAGCAGGCUGCGGGAAAUGCUACCGCUGUCAAUAUGCAGGUGGAGAGGAAGCCCGUGUCUUCAUUAUUGAAGGGCAAGAGGUUGAAACAAGUGGUAACAGCAACGAGAGACAUGAGUUUAAGGGCUGCACAACGCCUCAUGGCAGGGCGUGGUUUGAGGCAAGUCCCCGUUGUGGAUGGCAGUCAGCGAGUGAUCGGCCUCUUGGAUCGAGAUUCCAUUGCUCUGGCUUGCCGGGCGGAAGCCACGCGCAGAAUACUUGGUCUUUCACUUUCUAAAACGGCAUUGGAGGGGCCUAGUGAAGGUCUCUGAUAUUUUUUAUGAAGCGCAUUUAUCUUGUAUCUACGCAGAGAUCCGCUCUUCGACUUCGGGACGAGAUAUGCAUAAGUCUGACAAUUCGCAUGGAUAAUGUGGUUUCAUCUAUCAAAUGUUUUAGGUCUGCUAAAGCAGGUGAUCAAUGCGUGUGCUUUUUUCUGCAUGAAAAUUGACACACAGAGCCAUGUUCUGUCAGUGUAUCAUGCAUUGAAAAUUUAUUACAGUGACAGCCAGAGUUCGUCAGACGUGAGGCUGUUUUGAUUUACCUUAGAGUCUUUCAUGUACCAUAAUCAGAAAAUCUCGUAAUGAAGAUUUAGAAUUUCAGCUACUA